GAUGAACGCUGGCGGCGUGCCUAAUACAUGCAAGUCGAGCGAACAGACGAGGAGCUUGCUCCUCUGACGUUAGCGGCGGACGGGUGAGUAACACGUGGAUAACCUACCUAUAAGACUGGGAUAACUUCGGGAAACCGGAGCUAAUACCGGAUAAUAUAUUGAACCGCAUGGUUCAAUAGUGAAAGACGGUUUUGCUGUCACUUAUAGAUGGAUCCGCGCCGCAUUAGCUAGUUGGUAAGGGAACGGCUUACCAAGGCAACGAUGCGUAGCCGACCUGAGAGGGUGAUCGGCCACACUGGAACUGAGACACGGUCCAGACUCCUACGGGAGGCAGCAGUAGGGAAUCUUCCGCAAUGGGCGAAAGCCUGACGGAGCCACGCCGCGUGAGUGAUGAAGGUCUUCGGAUCGUAAAACUCUGUUAUUAGGGAAGAACAAAUGUGUAAGUAACUAUGCACGUCUUGACGGUACCUAAUCAGAAAGCCACGGCUAACUACGUG
This 497-nucleotide ribosomal RNA is filed under the name uncultured bacterium. Its description in RNAcentral is "partial 16S ribosomal RNA". It matches the Rfam family "Bacterial small subunit ribosomal RNA", at positions 28 to 507 of the family's 1533-position model. The record is from RNAcentral.